AUGAUUAUUUUAUAUUAUUUAAUAUAAAAUAAGAGCAUUUAAUAUAAAAUAAGAGCAAGAGUGUGCUGACUAUAAAUAUUAGAAAAAUCAUUCUUUAAUAUUUUAAGCUUUUAGAGAUAAACUGUUGUUUCACACUAUUUAACACUUCUGUCUAAAACUCAGUCAAAUAUUUUUUUUUAUCGACUUUAUCUAUCAAUUUAUUUUUUUUAAAAAAAAAAUCUCAUCUUAUAGCUUUAUAAAAAUAUAUAAUUAGCCUACAAUAUAUAUAUACACACUACACUCUUAUAAGUAUAGAGUUUUUCGUGCUCAUAAGUUAUUUUCGAUGAUGGAGCUUCCGAAUUAACGAUCCAUACUAUUAAAUGAUCUGAAGUAUUUGAAAUUUUUUAAAAAUAAAUUUUAUACCUUUUUAAAAUUAAGAAAGACUCGAAUUUUUCAAUUUUUCUAUAAAAAAAAAUAAUUUCUGAUUCUUUUACACCGUUAAAUAGCAAGUAUUCUAUAUCGGUCAUUAAUAAUUAUCAAUUUUGUUUCUAUUGAUCAUAAGAUAAACGAUAUCAAAAAAUAAUUAGAUUUAAUUUGUAAAAAUUUUAAAUGCUCUAAAUUAUGGUUAACAAUAUGGAUUAUCGAUUCAAAAGUUCUAUAGCCGAAAAUGAGUUAUAAAUAUAAAGACAAUCGCAAUCAUAAAAAAUAUAUAGUAGCCUCUCUCUCUCUCUCUCUCUCUCU
RNAcentral lists this long non-coding RNA (720 nucleotides) under Ananas comosus (pineapple). RNAcentral describes it as "long non-coding RNA (ACOM_LNC030029)". Lineage: Eukaryota; Viridiplantae; Streptophyta; Magnoliopsida; Poales; Bromeliaceae. The record is from RNAcentral.